CCUCUAGUUCCGGACUGUGAAGUGGAAAACUUUAGAGCAAUUUGGCCGAUCGAGUGAGUCAGCCUCGAGGAAGUUAAUUAGCAUGCACCAGACCCGAUUCGGGGGAUUGACUUGUUCCGAUGGCUUAUCAAUACAGUUAGUACAUACACAAUUAAGUCGCUUGUCUAGUCGGCGUAUAACGUGCGUGCCCCACACAUCUGCUAAUUGAAAUGUGUCCGGUGUAAGCACUCAAAGUGCCUUAUAUCGAUGUGGCCUGACGAAGCGGGGAUUCUGGUUAACGCCAUCCGGAACAGGCCACAUGAUAUACAUGGGAACUACAAGCCAGAAGCCGACACUCAAACGUCGAACGGCAACUCAAAGUAUCGGCAAUAGCUGUAAACUACAUAUACCUAAUGAUCUCCAGCGGGAGUAUCACUAUUUGCCAUUUGUAUAUAGCUGCUCGUUAAUUGUGGACAACCUGUUGAGCAUAAAUGCCGGCAAUCGAACAAAGUGGGAUAGCCUGUACUACGGCUGGCACUAUUUCAAUUUGCAUUUUGUGCGUCGAUCUGGCGAUUGCGAUGUCGAUCAAUCAAUCAGCCCCCGAUGACCUUCACACUGACCGUGGCCAGGGGGUGGGAUGGGGAUGGUAAUGGGAUGAGUAUGUCGACGAGCUGUGGCGCCAGG
Drosophila gunungcola (fruit fly) is the source of this 663-nucleotide long non-coding RNA. RefSeq lists it as uncharacterized. The transcript has 3 exons. NCBI's taxonomy places the organism in Eukaryota, Metazoa, Arthropoda, Insecta, Diptera, Drosophilidae. The record is from RefSeq and is a predicted model, not a curated record.